AACCCAUGGUGAGGGCACCUUCUCAGUAAGUCUUUGUAUCUCUCCCAUACGUCAUAAAGAGUUUCUAAGUCCAUCUGCACAAACGAAGAGAUAUCGUUACGAAAUUU
Molecule: small nucleolar RNA, 107 nt
Filed under: Gossypium arboreum
Lineage: Eukaryota; Viridiplantae; Streptophyta; Magnoliopsida; Malvales; Malvaceae
Description: Plant small nucleolar RNA R71
Rfam family: Plant small nucleolar RNA R71
About the family: R71 is a member of the C/D box family of snoRNAs containing the C (UGAUGA) and D (CUGA) box motifs. Multiple nearly identical copies of this snoRNA have been identified in Arabidopsis, and it is thought to function as a 2'-O-ribose methylation guide for 18S ribosomal RNA.
Source: Rfam by way of RNAcentral